RNAcentral lists this ribosomal RNA (1888 nucleotides) under Escherichia coli. RNAcentral's name for it is "partial 23S ribosomal RNA". It matches the Rfam family "Bacterial large subunit ribosomal RNA", at positions 1057 to 2925 of the family's 2925-position model. The record is from RNAcentral. Lineage: Bacteria; Pseudomonadati; Pseudomonadota; Gammaproteobacteria; Enterobacterales; Enterobacteriaceae.
GGUUAAGUGGGAAACGAUGUGGGAAGGCCCAGACAGCCAGGAUGUUGGCUUAGAAGCAGCCAUCAUUUAAAGAAAGCGUAAUAGCUCACUGGUCGAGUCGGCCUGCGCGGAAGAUGUAACGGGGCUAAACCAUGCACCGAAGCUGCGGCAGCGACACUGUGUGUUGUUGGGUAGGGGAGCGUUCUGUAAGCCUGUGAAGGUGUGCUGUGAGGCAUGCUGGAGGUAUCAGAAGUGCGAAUGCUGACAUAAGUAACGAUAAAGCGGGUGAAAAGCCCGCUCGCCGGAAGACCAAGGGUUCCUGUCCAACGUUAAUCGGGGCAGGGUGAGUCGACCCCUAAGGCGAGGCCGAAAGGCGUAGUCGAUGGGAAACAGGUUAAUAUUCCUGUACUUGGUGUUACUGCGAAGGGGGGACGGAGAAGGCUAUGUUGGCCGGGCGACGGUUGUCCCGGUUUAAGCGUGUAGGCUGGUUUUCCAGGCAAAUCCGGAAAAUCAAGGCUGAGGCGUGAUGACGAGGCACUACGGUGCUGAAGCAACAAAUGCCCUGCUUCCAGGAAAAGCCUCUAAGCAUCAGGUAACAUCAAAUCGUACCCCAAACCGACACAGGUGGUCAGGUAGAGAAUACCAAGGCGCUUGAGAGAACUCGGGUGAAGGAACUAGGCAAAAUGGUGCCGUAACUUCGGGAGAAGGCACGCUGAUAUGUAGGUGAAGUCCCUCGCGGAUGGAGCUGAAAUCAGUCGAAGAUACCAGCUGGCUGCAACUGUUUAUUAAAAACACAGCACUGUGCAAACACGAAAGUGGACGUAUACGGUGUGACGCCUGCCCGGUGCCGGAAGGUUAAUUGAUGGGGUCAGCGCAAGCGAAGCUCUUGAUCGAAGCCCCGGUAAACGGCGGCCGUAACUAUAACGGUCCUAAGGUAGCGAAAUUCCUUGUCGGGUAAGUUCCGACCUGCACGAAUGGCGUAAUGAUGGCCAGGCUGUCUCCACCCGAGACUCAGUGAAAUUGAACUCGCUGUGAAGAUGCAGUGUACCCGCGGCAAGACGGAAAGACCCCGUGAACCUUUACUAUAGCUUGACACUGAACAUUGAGCCUUGAUGUGUAGGAUAGGUGGGAGGCUUUGAAGUGUGGACGCCAGUCUGCAUGGAGCCGACCUUGAAAUACCACCCUUUAAUGUUUGAUGUUCUAACGUGGACCCGUGAUCCGGGUUGCGGACAGUGUCUGGUGGGUAGUUUGACUGGGGCGGUCUCCUCCUAAAGAGUAACGGAGGAGCACGAAGGUUGGCUAAUCCUGGUCGGACAUCAGGAGGUUAGUGCAAUGGCAUAAGCCAGCUUGACUGCGAGCGUGACGGCGCGAGCAGGUGCGAAAGCAGGUCAUAGUGAUCCGGUGGUUCUGAAUGGAAGGGCCAUCGCUCAACGGAUAAAAGGUACUCCGGGGAUAACAGGCUGAUACCGCCCAAGAGUUCAUAUCGACGGCGGUGUUUGGCACCUCGAUGUCGGCUCAUCACAUCCUGGGGCUGAAGUAGGUCCCAAGGGUAUGGCUGUUCGCCAUUUAAAGUGGUACGCGAGCUGGGUUUAGAACGUCGUGAGACAGUUCGGUCCCUAUCUGCCGUGGGCGCUGGAGAACUGAGGGGGGCUGCUCCUAGUACGAGAGGACCGGAGUGGACGCAUCACUGGUGUUCGGGUUGUCAUGCCAAUGGCACUGCCCGGUAGCUAAAUGCGGAAGAGAUAAGUGCUGAAAGCAUCUAAGCACGAAACUUGCCCCGAGAUGAGUUCUCCCUGACCCUUUAAGGGUCCUGAAGGAACGUUGAAGACGACGACGUUGAUAGGCCGGGUGUGUAAGCGCAGCGAUGCGUUGAGCUAACCGGUACUAAUGAACCGUGAGGCUUAACCUU